GAUGAACGCUGGCGGCGUGCCUAAUACAUGCAAGUCGAGCGAACGGACGAGAAGCUUGCUUCUCUGAUGUUAGCGGCGGACGGGUGAGUAACACGUGGAUAACCUACCUAUAAGACUGGGAUAACUUCGGGAAACCGGAGCUAAUACCGGAUAAUAUUUUGAACCGCAUGGUUCAAAAGUGAAAGACGGUCUUUCUGUCACUUCUAGAUGGAUCCGCGCUGCAUUAGCUAGUUGGUAAGGUAACGGCUUACCAAGGCAACGAUGCAUAUCCGACCUGAGAGGGUGAUAGGCCACACUGGAACUGAGACACGGUCAAGACUACUACGGGAGGCAGCAGUAGGGAAUCUUCCGCAAUGGGCGAAAGCCUGACGGAGCAACGCCGCGUGAGCGAUGAAGGUCUUCGGAUCGUAAAAAUCUGUUAUUAGGGAAGAACAUAUGUGUAAGUAACUGUGCACAUCUUGACGGUACCUAAUCAGAAAGCCACGGCUAACUACGUG
RNAcentral lists this ribosomal RNA (497 nucleotides) under uncultured bacterium. Its description in RNAcentral is "partial 16S ribosomal RNA". It matches the Rfam family "Bacterial small subunit ribosomal RNA", at positions 28 to 507 of the family's 1533-position model. The record is from RNAcentral.